CGACCGCCACAGGGCCUCCCGCCCCGUGGCCAAGGCCACACGGACAGCCGGGUCGAAUGCCGA
This is a small RNA of Firmicutes bacterium CAG:114, 63 nucleotides long. It matches the Rfam family "Streptococcus sRNA SpF59 (ldcC RNA)". NCBI's taxonomy places the organism in Bacteria, Bacillati, Bacillota. The record is from Rfam.